RNAcentral lists this long non-coding RNA (1034 nucleotides) under Manacus vitellinus (golden-collared manakin). RNAcentral's name for it is "lncRNA (ENSMVIG00005005555.1)". Lineage: Eukaryota; Metazoa; Chordata; Aves; Passeriformes; Pipridae. The record is from RNAcentral.
CAGCUCUGCCCAUUACUCAUAAGCACCCAAAAGUCACAUCACUUUGUGAACAAUGUAAAAUCUGUCAAGAAGGCUUAGAAAUCUACGCUGGCACUUCAACCCUUUGUCCACACCAUCAUGCUCACCACCCUGGUGUUCAGCUGGAGCUUCUAACCCAGUACCUGGUUUGUCAUGGAAAUGAUUGAGCAGAUCUCGGGGACUGAACCUCUCACUCAGCUUACAAAGAACUUCUCCUCACCAAGAUGUGGUGACGCUGUUCACACAGCAAUGAGCACAGCAACAAGCAGUGCUGUUGCAGGAAAGCAAUUCCUUGGUUCCUUGGUGUGAUUUCCUGAACUUGCAUAGGACACCAGGUUUCUGGAAAUUUACUGAGAAAAAGUCUCACAGCAUCCUCAGCGACCACAAGCCUCACAAACUGUACCUCCUGUUUGAGUGCCAUUCAGCACAGAACAAAACACCCAGUCCUGCCUCUGUAGCUGCUCUGAGAUCUGCUAUCUCUGAAAAUACUGGUUUCAGGUGUGGGCUGGAAAGUGAGUAAGACUUGCUGAGGCCGCUCUUAAGUUUAUGGCAGCCUUUGCCAUAACAUUAUGGAAUGUUGUAGGACUCCCUACAGGUAGCAAGAAGUUAAAAUCUCCCUAAUGCUACUGGAUUCUUUGUAAAGAAGCAAUUUUUCAAUUAUACGUAAUUAAUAGUAAUUACUCUUUAUCUUCAGAGACCAGAACAAAGAAUAAUUAAUCCAUCUUAACAUCCCUGUUAAGGAGCUAUUAAAUAUGGGGGUUUUAUACAGCAGACUACUUAGUAACUUAUGUGGCCCGCAGUUCAGUCUGUGUUCCCUAAUGCAGAAAGGAAAGAGAAAAGAAUCCUGAACUAUCUGAACUAAUAUUCUAGUUCUUGCCUCAAUUUAAUUAACUAGUUUGGAAACAGCUGUUUCCCUCUUGCAGCAGCAUUUCCUUCUGCAAAUGAAGUGUGCUGCCUACAGAUCUCUCAUUUAGAGAAGCAGUUUUACUACAUCUUAUAAAUAAUAACAUUCAAGU